UACAGAGGUCUCAAGCGUUGUUCGGAUUCAUUGGGCGUAAAGGGUGUGUAGGUGGCGCGCUAAGUCGGGUGUGAAAUUUCGGAGCUUAACUCCGAAACUGCAUUCGAUACUGGCGUGCUUGAGGACUGGAGAGGAGACUGGAAUUUACGGUGUAGCAGUGAAAUGCGUAGAUAUCGUAAGGAAGACCAGUGGCGAAGGCGGGUCUCUGGACAGUUCCUGACACUGAGACACGAAGGCUAGGGGAGCAAACGGG
Molecule: ribosomal RNA, 253 nt
Filed under: uncultured bacterium
Lineage: Bacteria
Description: partial 16S ribosomal RNA
Rfam family: Bacterial small subunit ribosomal RNA
Source: RNAcentral